This 473-nucleotide ribosomal RNA is filed under the name uncultured bacterium. Its description in RNAcentral is "partial 16S ribosomal RNA". It matches the Rfam family "Bacterial small subunit ribosomal RNA", at positions 28 to 507 of the family's 1533-position model. The record is from RNAcentral.
GGUGAACGCUGGCGGCGUGCCUAAGACAUGCAAGUCGAGCGGGCCGCGGGGUUUUACUCCGUGGUCAGCGGCGGACGGGUGAGUAACGCGUGGGUGACCUACCCGGAAGAGGGGGACAACCCGGGGAAACUCGGGCUAAUCCCCCAUUUGGACCCGCCCCUUGGGGUGUGUCCAAAGGGCUUUUCCCGCUUCCGGAUGGGCCCGGGUCCCAUCAGCUAGUUGGUGGGGUAAUGGCCCAUCAAGGCCACGACGGGUAGCCGGCCUGAGAGGGUGGCCGGCCACAGGGGCACUGGGAAACGGGCCCCAGUCCUACGGGAGGCAGCAGUUAGGAAUCGGCCGCAAUGGGCGCAAGCCUGACGGAGCGACGCCGCUGGGAGGAAGAAGCCCUUCGGGGUGUAAACUCCUGAACCCGGGACGAAACCCCCGACGAGGGGACGGACGGUACCGGGGUAAUAGCGCCGGCCAACUCCGUG